RNAcentral lists this ribosomal RNA (492 nucleotides) under uncultured bacterium. RNAcentral's name for it is "partial 16S ribosomal RNA". It matches the Rfam family "Bacterial small subunit ribosomal RNA", at positions 29 to 507 of the family's 1533-position model. The record is from RNAcentral.
AGUGAACGCUGGCGGUAGGCCUAACACAUGCAAGUCGAACGGCAGCACAGUAAGAGCUUGCUCUUACGGGUGGCGAGUGGCGGACGGGUGAGGAAUACAUCGGAAUCUACUUUUUCGUGGGGGAUAACGUAGGGAAACUUACGCUAAUACCGCAUACGACCUACGGGUGAAAGCAGGGGAUCUUCGCACCUUGUGCGACUGAAUGAGCCGAUGUUGGAUUAGCUAGUUGGCUGGGUAAAGGCCCACCAAGGCCACGAUCCGUAGCUGGUCUGAGAGGAUGAUCAGCGACACUGGAGCUUAGACACGGUCCAGACUCCUACGGGAGGCAGCAGUGGGGAAUAUUGGACAAUGGGCGCAAGCCUGAUCCAGCCAUACCGCGUGGGUGAAAGAGGCCUUCGGGUUGUAAAGCCCUUUUGUUGGGAAAGAAAAGCAGCAGGUUAAUACCCCGCUGUUCUGACGGUACCCAAAGAAUAAGCACCGGCUAACUUCGUG